CCCUUAGAUGUCCUGGGCCGCACGCGCGCUACACUGAUGCAUUCAACGAGUUUCACCUUGGCCGAGAGGCCUGGGCAAUCUUUUAAACCUGCAUCGUGAUAGGGACAGAUUAUUGCAAUUAUUAAUCUUGAACGAGGAAUUCCUAGUAAACGCAAAUCAUCAAUUUGCAUUGAUUACGUCCCUGCCCUUUGUACACACCGCCCGUCGCACCUACCGAUUGAAUGGUCCGGUGAAGCCUCGGGAUUGUGGCCAGUUCACUUUAUUGGGAGUUGGCUGUGAGAACUUGUCUAAACCUUAUCAUUUAGAGGAAGGUGAAGUCGUAACA
RNAcentral lists this ribosomal RNA (325 nucleotides) under uncultured eukaryote. RNAcentral describes it as "partial 18S ribosomal RNA". It matches the Rfam family "Eukaryotic small subunit ribosomal RNA", at positions 1470 to 1796 of the family's 1831-position model. The record is from RNAcentral.